GGUGGCUCAGUGGUAGAGCAUUUGCCUUAUAUGCUCAAGGCCCUGGGUUCGAUUCCUCAGCACCA
RNAcentral lists this transfer RNA (65 nucleotides) under Dipodomys ordii (Ord's kangaroo rat). It matches the Rfam family "tRNA". From Rfam's summary of the family: Transfer RNA (tRNA) molecules are approximately 80 nucleotides in length. Lineage: Eukaryota; Metazoa; Chordata; Mammalia; Rodentia; Heteromyidae. The record is from Rfam by way of RNAcentral.